This is a long non-coding RNA of Peromyscus leucopus (white-footed mouse), 1245 nucleotides long. RefSeq lists it as uncharacterized. The record is from RefSeq and is a predicted model, not a curated record. NCBI's taxonomy places the organism in Eukaryota, Metazoa, Chordata, Mammalia, Rodentia, Cricetidae. The transcript has 5 exons.
GAAGAAGAAGAAGGAAGGAAGGAAGGACCUGUCCAAAUAUGGGAGAGGGAGCGCUGUAAAGCUGUCAGGGAGGGUCUUGGAGUUUCACAGUGCUAUCAAAUAUCCCGCAACACAUGGGUAUCUUUGGAGAGUCCUUCUUUUGCCUACCUCAACCAGCUUGAAGAGUCUCCACUUCUGGCUGCUCUCCCUCACUCCACCCCAGGCUGAAUUUGUAAGAUUCCAUAUAUUAAGAACUAUGCCUUCUUGGAGUGUUUCUUGCGACCACUCGUCUCCUUCAGCCAUGUGAUCCUACUUCUGUGGGACACUUUGGAGAGUACAUAGACCAGCAUCAGAGACCCAUCUCACGGUCCCCAGCCCAUGGAAUGGCAACACCCACAUUUUUCCCACCUCAACCCAGUCUAGAAGACAUCUCACAGACAUGCCCAGAGGCUGUCUCAUGGGUGAUUCUAGACCCUGACAAGCUGACGAAAUGAUGAUGCAGGUCCUGGCUCACCAGUCACUGUUUUCAUGCACGAAUCACUGUACCAGCAGCCCACAGCCUGCUUCUGCAUCUUGGUUUUGCCGCGGGAGUCAAUGUACUGAAAUCAGUGUUGGCUGAUUUCAAUUUUGCCAUCAUUUUCCAGAAGGAGGCACCAUACAGCAGGCCCCCAUUUGCCAACAAUCUGGCCUUCUUGGUUCAUUUGGCCAUACCACUGUGACCUAGACCAGAGCCUGAAGAACUCACGUAAUGCUCUGAUACAUGCACAUCACCAUGUGAUGACUGAACUGGGUUGCACACCCACCCUGGGUGAUCUGAGUGCACAGUGAACUCUGAGAUGCCCUGGUCUACAACACAGACUUGUACACGGAGAAGUACAAGAUGAGAAGAGUGCACGGAAUGGCCGGAUGGAAGAAAGGUAAGGACAUCACGCUAACCUCAAGAGGCUCCUCUCUCCAGACCAGACCAGCCUCUGCCCUCCCCCGGUUGCUCUCAAGCUCGGCAAUUCAGAGAUUUGAGGACCUCAGCAACCUUCCUUAUUUAUGGUUUAGUAUCUUAGGCAAGAGCAGUAACUGAUUAAAACCCAUUCAGAAGAGGCCUGAAGUUUGGGCUAGAAAGUGCUAGUGUGAGUCGGCAUCCAUUUGAAAAGAUAAAUGGUCUCUAUACCUGGGGACAAAGAAAACUGGGCCAAACACAAGGAGAACAUGCCAGAGGAGGGCCCCGCAAAUAAUUAGCAGCUAAUUUUAGCCCAUCAGCUUACCUAUUUU